This 429-nucleotide ribosomal RNA is filed under the name bacterium. RNAcentral describes it as "partial 16S ribosomal RNA". It matches the Rfam family "Bacterial small subunit ribosomal RNA", at positions 355 to 776 of the family's 1533-position model. The record is from RNAcentral.
UAGGGAAUCUUCCACAAUGGACGCAAGUCUGAUGGAGCAACGCCGCGUGAGUGAAGAAGGUUUUCGGAUCGUAAAGCUCUGUUGUUGGUGAAGAAGGAUAGAGGUAGUAACUGGCCUUUAUUUGACGGUAAUCAACCAGAAAGUCACGGCUAACUACGUGCCAGCAGCCGCGGUAAUACGUAGGUGGCAAGCGUUGUCCGGAUUUAUUGGGCGUAAAGCGAGCGCAGGCGGAAGAAUAAGUCUGAUGUGAAAGCCCUCGGCUUAACCGAGGAACUGCAUCGGAAACUGUUUUUCUUGAGUGCAGAAGAGGAGAGUGGAACUCCAUGUGUAGCGGUGGAAUGCGUAGAAAUAUGGAAGAACACCAGUGGCGAAGGCGACUCUCUGGUCUGCAACUGACGCUGAGGCUCGAAAGCAUGGGUAGCGAACAGG